GAGAUAAUAGUGAAGAAAAUUUACUGAUUAAUUGAUUGCCUAAGCUUCUUUGCAUAGUUUGUUAGAUACAAAUUGUUAGUCUCAUGAUUAGUUGAGAUGUUCUCUUUUGAAUAUGUGUGCAGUGGUUGACUUCUAGAAAUUCUUUAGAUGCAAUAAGCUCUUGAUUGAAAAAAAUCAUUUAUAGUUAGUCUAAAAUAUAUGUCCAUGUCUUUUAUUUUAGUUGACAUAGUACUGUUUUAUCCUUGUUAAUGGCUGAUUUCAUGCCUUAUUUUGAUUGAGCAAUGAUGAUGAUGGCCUUAUUAUGCUAAUUUUUAUAUUGCUACUGAUUGCCAUUUUCGCUUGCUGCCGUUUGAUUUUAGUGCUGAUUAGUGCUGAUUUGAUUCUAGUGAGUUCAUAUGGGUUGAUUUUGCUGUUUGUUUAAAUUCAGAAAUGUCCUAUUUACUGCUAGAAUGCUGCCGAAAUUUCUAAAAAUUUGUGUUAAUUGAAUUCCAAUUUGUGAAUUGAAUUUGGUAAUUUGUUACUUUAGUUUUGUUUCAUGACCAAAUUCAACUCAAUAGGUUACUUUAAUUUGUUCUUUUUUUUUCAAUUAAAUAUCUUAUAAAUUAAAUCAAUAAUAGGGAUGGUAUAUAAUUAGUAUCUUUGUAUAGAGACAAUAGUGAAGAAAACACCUCCUUCUUUCCCUUUCUCCUCUUUUCUUCUUCUUCCAUUUUUGCCCUCCCCUGUCUUCGGAAACAGAACAAAAACGCCACUGUUCCCCUGUUUCUGCGCUCAUCCUCCACCGUGCGCCACCAGUAGCCGCCUCUGGGUCGACACUGCUCUGCCUCCAUUCUCCCUCCUCUUGCCAUUUUCUGUUUCUGCUUCUUCUGCAGGAAAACUAUGUUGAAGGGGAAAUCGAACUUCAUUAAGGUCAAACUUUUAAGAGCAAAUGUUACAGAGUAAAAGUCAUGAACUUGUGGAUCGGACAUGAUGAUAAAUCUAUUUGCUACUUAGCUAGUUCAACUCUUCUUUGUUAUAUUUUUUGCAGCAUUAGAUGAUAUAGUUCGAGGUUGUCAUGAUAGUAUAUAUAUUGUGGUAUUUUGAAUGUGAUUGUGGAUCUUACAACAAUUUUUAUAAGUCAAAUUUGAUGGAAAAUGUUCAAUUAUUUUUCUUUA
This is a non-coding RNA of Arachis ipaensis, 1151 nucleotides long. The record is from RefSeq and is a predicted model, not a curated record. Lineage: Eukaryota; Viridiplantae; Streptophyta; Magnoliopsida; Fabales; Fabaceae.